AACGAACGCUGGCGGCAUGCCUAACACAUGCAAGUCGAACGAGACCUUCGGGUCUAGUGGCGCACGGGUGCGUAACGCGUGGGAACCUGCCCUUAGGUUCGGAAUAACUCCCCGAAAGGGGUGCUAAUACCGGAUAAUGUCUUCGGACCAAAGAUUUAUCGCCUUUGGAUGGGCCCGCGUUGGAUUAGCUAGUUGGUAGGGUAAAAGCCUACCAAGGCGACGUUCCAUAGCUGGUCUGAGAGGAUGAUCAGCCACACUGGGACUGAGACACGGCCCAGACUCCGACGGGAGGCAGCAGUGGGGAAUAUUGGACGAUGGGCGAAAGCCUGAUCCAGCAAUGCCGCGUGAGUGAUGAAGGCCUUAGGGUUGUAAAGCUCUUUUACCCGGGAUGAUAAUGACAGUACCGGGAGAAUAAGCUCCGGCUAACUCCGUG
Molecule: ribosomal RNA, 433 nt
Filed under: uncultured bacterium
Lineage: Bacteria
Description: partial 16S ribosomal RNA
Rfam family: Bacterial small subunit ribosomal RNA
Source: RNAcentral